AGGUCGAAAGAAUACUUAUAUCCAUAUCCUUUACAAGCUACUCUUGACAACAGAGUGCUCUAUAGUUAGUCACGUUCAUAGAGAUAUAGUCCUACAUCUCACUUGCAUGCCAUACCAGUAUCUCCAUACUAUUUGGUUACGAGGACAAGCAACUCAUAUGGCACACAAGGACCUACACUUGAUAUUGCUAUCGUCCUAGUAAUAGC
RNAcentral lists this long non-coding RNA (206 nucleotides) under Elaeis guineensis (African oil palm). RNAcentral's name for it is "long non-coding RNA (EGUI_LNC054909)". The record is from RNAcentral. Lineage: Eukaryota; Viridiplantae; Streptophyta; Magnoliopsida; Arecales; Arecaceae.